Molecule: ribosomal RNA, 253 nt
Filed under: uncultured bacterium
Lineage: Bacteria
Description: partial 16S ribosomal RNA
Rfam family: Bacterial small subunit ribosomal RNA
Source: RNAcentral
UACGGAGGGAGCUAGCGUUGUUCGGAAUUACUGGGCGUAAAGCGCACGUAGGCGGCUAUUCAAGUCGGGGGUGAAAGCCCGGGGCUCAACCCCGGAACAGCCCUCGAAACUAGAUAGCUAGAAUCUUGGAGAGGUCAGUGGAAUUCCGAGUGUAGAGGUGAAAUUCGUAGAUAUUCGGAAGAACACCAGUGGCGAAGGCGACUGACUGGACAAGUAUUGACGCUGAGGUGCGAAAGCGUGGGGAGCAAACAGG